Small nucleolar RNA from Myotis lucifugus (little brown bat), 134 nucleotides. Ensembl annotates it as small nucleolar RNA SNORA5. The record is from Ensembl. NCBI's taxonomy places the organism in Eukaryota, Metazoa, Chordata, Mammalia, Chiroptera, Vespertilionidae.
UGCAGCCAUAUCAAAUUCGGUGCCUGCCCACCCAUGGCGGGCACUGGCCCAGAAGGCUGCCACAGAAACACUGUGGUGCAUGGGCCCUGAUCCCCUCUGCUGGGCCUCAGGGAUAAGUUUGGCUACAGACAUCA